UUUCACCUUUUUUAUGGAAUUUGAAAUUCUUUAUAGGGAAACUCUCUUUUGUUUUCCAGUGAAAU
Molecule: transfer RNA, 65 nt
Filed under: Achatinella mustelina
Lineage: Eukaryota; Metazoa; Mollusca; Gastropoda; Stylommatophora; Achatinellidae
Description: tRNA-Ser
Source: RNAcentral